This 925-nucleotide long non-coding RNA is filed under the name Lactuca sativa (garden lettuce). Its description in RNAcentral is "long non-coding RNA (LSAT_LNC009110)". The record is from RNAcentral. Lineage: Eukaryota; Viridiplantae; Streptophyta; Magnoliopsida; Asterales; Asteraceae.
CGAGAAAUUGACUUACUUUGGUGUAGAAGGAUAUAAAAAGUUAGUCUUUAGUUAAGUGUCAACAGAAAGAAACGAUAGGCAAGGAAGGAUUUUCUUCGUUUCUAUAAUUCUAUUUUAACGAGCAAGCGCACUUCAGGUUAUUAAUCAUCAAGUUCUUAGCUUCAAUAGAGCCCAGCAACCCCAAGUAAUAAAUCUUCACAAUGAGUAAUUUAUCCAAUUGAAAAUCACUGAAGAAUUUUAACAAGAAACACUCACACGCACAGAGACACUUUUUUAUAUAAAGAGUAAAAUUUGAUACCUGGAAGGAAGGGGGUGGAAGUUCUGUUCAGAUAUGGAACUAGGGCUUUUUGUAGAAGAGAAUGCGAGAGAGUUAAAUCUGAGAGAGGGGAUGCAGGAUUGUGCCAUUUUUGUUUAUCGAUAUGAGAGGUCGCUGUGUUUUUGUGGAGGAAGAGAUGGUUGCUUAUCCGUUAAACGACGACGACGAUGCGACGGAGUGAGGCAGGCAAUUAGCUAUUAUUACUAAAGAAACAAGAGCUUAAUUAUCCGUUGUGGUGGAGCUAUUAUUUCUUGUUUCUUCAACCNUUGUAGAAGAGAAUGCGAGAGAGUUAAAUCUGAGAGAGGGGAUGCAGGAUUGUGCCAUUUUUGUUUAUCGAUAUGAGAGGUCGCUGUGUUUUUGUGGAGGAAGAGAUGGUUGCUUAUCCGUUAAACGACGACGACGAUGCGACGGAGUGAGGCAGGCAGUUGGUGAGGUGAGGGGAUGAGCCAACGAAGGAAGAAGAUAAACAAGAUUUUUAUUUGGGUUACGUUGUUGCGUGUGGGAAUGUAAAACCCAAAAUUGAAACAAAUCUCAUGGCGCUCGGGUUGGGCCUGGGUUUGCUGUAUCAUUUCCUACCAAUCGAUUAGGAUUUAAGAAGGCCAAAACUAG